AACGAACGCUGGCGGCAUGCCUAACACAUGCAAGUCGAACGAGACCUUCGGGUCUAGUGGCGCACGGGUGCGUAACGCGUGGGAACCUGCCCUUAGGUUCGGAAUAACUCCCCGAAAGGGGUGCUAAUACCGGAUAAUGUCUUCGGACCAAAGAUUUAUCGCCUUUGGAUGGGCCCGCGUUGGAUUAGCUAGUUGGUAGGGUAAAAGCCUACCAAGGCGACGAUCCAUAGCUGGUCUGAGAGGAUGAUCAGCCACACUGGGACUGUGACACGGCCCAGACUCCUACGGGAGGCAGCAGUGGGGAAUAUUGGACAAUGGGCGAAAGCCGGAUCCAGCAAUGCCGCGGGAGUGAUGAAGGCCUUAGGGUUGUAAAGCUCUUUUACCCGGGAUGAUAAGGACAGGACCGGGAGAAUAAGCUCCGGCGAACUCCGU
RNAcentral lists this ribosomal RNA (432 nucleotides) under uncultured bacterium. RNAcentral's name for it is "partial 16S ribosomal RNA". It matches the Rfam family "Bacterial small subunit ribosomal RNA", at positions 29 to 506 of the family's 1533-position model. The record is from RNAcentral.